This 1308-nucleotide long non-coding RNA is filed under the name Numida meleagris (helmeted guineafowl). Its description in RNAcentral is "lncRNA (ENSNMEG00000007573.1)". Lineage: Eukaryota; Metazoa; Chordata; Aves; Galliformes; Numididae. The record is from RNAcentral.
UUUGCAAGCACAGUCUUCAGCUUCUCACCAGAUUAUUUACUGAGGUAUUAAAGGAUAUUGUUUCAGUUUCCCUGAAUGAGAAAAGAGAAACGAUCUUAAUAGUUGAUCUGUGUUGUAGCUCACAGCUGUGCCACUGGACUGGAUUGAGAUUGGGGAGUGGAGGAGGGGAGCAGAGGAGAUCGAUGCAAGAGAUAAAGAAAAGACAGGAGCAGGAAGGUGAAAACAACAAAGGGAAUCGGAAUAGAUGUAUUUGGGUUAAGGUAUCCCUAUUCUCUUGGUGCUGUACUUACCCAUCCAAUAUAGACUGAGGAUUGAGCAUGUUGAUUCCAGCUUCCUCAAGAAGAACGAGGGAGGACGAUAUGACAAGUUACCAUCACUUCAAGUUAUUUGCCAGGAACAUUGGGAUUCCACUGUCCUGCAACUAGACUGAGUUUCUUUUAAUGUGUUGUCACAGUUUUCUGCUAUUUGGAUGCUUACAAGUGAGAGGUGCACAUGGCCCCAUGACUUCCUUAAGUUCAGUCUCCCCAAAAGCCCUUGUUUCUUAGACAGCAACUGAAAAAAUGUGUUUCUAGACCCUUCCCAUGAAAGCACUGGUAGAGUAUAAGUGCAGGCAGGGGAGGCAGCAGGCACUUGGACAUGAGGCAGGUGCUGAAAAGAAGUCAAGGUAAGCUCAAACCGGUCUUGAGAUCUAUACUCUAAAAUCAAACCAGAGUCCAAGGCUUUUCACUAAGAACAGCAUAAAUCAUAUUUACAGGUUCUGCUACAUCAAUAUAAUCAGUGAAAUGUUAUGCCAAGAUUUCUCUCAGCCUUCAAUAUGCUACCAAGUAUGCAAAAUACGUGGCUAUGUUAAAUUUUGAUGUUGAAUGAUAAAAUAAUUACAAUAUUGUGAAAGACUUUCACAUUAUUAAAAGAAGAAAUUUGGUCUAUUUGUCCUGCUUUUGCUUAAAAAGUAUCUUAGUUUUCCCUGUUAGGACAACCAUGGACCCCUGGGCAUUUGUUCAAGUUAAUGUUUUUCAGUGACUUUUAGCACAAUUUAUUUUUUUCUGUCGAAGAAAGUAUGAAAAAGGCUAGAAAUAAUAAUUAAACAAUAAUUGGUUCAUGUAACAAAUUCACAUGCACAAAUAAUUAAAUGUCAUAUUUUGACAAAUUCAUAUCAUUUGAGAUCCUAAAUGCAAUUUUAAACAGUUCAUUUCUUCUUCUUAGGACUUCAUUUCAUUGUGUAAUAGAAGCCUGUUAAGAAAUAGAUAACUUAAAAGAUCAUCUAGACUAUCUUUCUGUUAAUAUAUAAGUAAGAACUUCAGGAUAGUG